Molecule: ribosomal RNA, 327 nt
Filed under: uncultured bacterium
Lineage: Bacteria
Description: bacterial SSU rRNA
Rfam family: Bacterial small subunit ribosomal RNA
Source: RNAcentral
ACUCCUACGGGAGGCAGCAGUGGGGAAUAUUGCACAAUGGACGAAAGUCUGAUGCAGCAACGCCGCGUGGAGGAUGACACAUUUCGGUGCGUAACUCCUUUAUAUAGGAAGAUAAUGACGGUACUAUAUGAAUAAGCACCGGCUAACUCCGUGCCAGCAGCCGCGGUAAUACGGAGGGUGCAAGCGUUACUCGGAAUCACUGGGCGUAAGAGCGUGUAGGCGGGUUAAUAAGUUGGAUGUGAAAUCCUAUGGCUCAACCAUAGAACUGCAUCCAAAACUGUUAACCUAGAGUAUGGGAGAGGUAGAUGGAAUUUCUGGUGUAGGGGU